GCAGACACAUUCCAGCCAAUCAGCAGCAGACCCUCACUCCCAGAUCCUCCCACCUCCUGGACAGCAUCCAUUUUACAUUCAUUGUGAAGCUGCAUUCUUAGUGAGCUGUCCAGGAGGUGGGAGGGUCUGGGAGAGAGGGUCUGCUGCUGAUUGGCUGGAAUGUGUCUG
RNAcentral lists this microRNA precursor (168 nucleotides) under Pelobates cultripes (western spadefoot toad). Lineage: Eukaryota; Metazoa; Chordata; Amphibia; Anura; Pelobatidae. The record is from RNAcentral.